CUGAGAAACUCCGUCGAGCGGGUUUUUUUCUCCUGGAUAUUGCGGAUAAUCCUGUCGUGCUGCGGGUGGUGGAUGGUGAUGUCAACUCACCUGGAUACUGAUCCCGUGGACCAGAGGAGUGGUGGGAGAGGAACCACGUGGGAUUGAGCUAAGGAUAAUCCAUUUUAUUUUAUUUUGUUUUAUUUUAUUUUAUUUGCACCCCCCCAGAUCCUGAGAUCUCAGGUUGUAGAAACUUUGGCAGAAACUGAAUCUGUGGAAAGAAAACACUGUUCAUUUCAUUUCAAUGUAUUUUUUUGGAGUUGUAAAUCUGUCAAGUUAUUUUGUUACCAGAAUUUGCAUUAAGAGAAAAGCAGAUAUCUUUUAUACGUAUACAUUUCCUUCUUUUUCAUAAGUCGGUGGUCGUGUGUGGGCUGGGGGUCUUACUGCACUUCGCAGAGCCAGCUUUGCCCGGGGCCGCAAGCGUUGCUGCUGUAAAAAUACUGACAGGCACGCCAAAUGUUUAUUAAUUUACAAGUCAAAAAAUUUGUUCCCAACUAAUACAAUAAACACUCCUGUUUGAGUAACACGUGCUAAAAUCUCCAGCGGCCCCGUGGUUGUAAUUUAAAACCCAUUUGACCCAUUUCAAUGUCCAUCUAAGGAUCUAACAGAGGGACUCGGGGAGGGUCAUGGGCAGGUUAGGGGAGUCGGAAAAAAGUGUUGAGAGAUGGACACAGAGAAAAAAUAAAGAGCACCAAAUCAGUCCUUUUAAUCUCCAGUUCUGCCACGAUGAACUAACAUGAGAAUAUGUGUGUCUCCUGCUUAGUUUUCACGACAUAAGCAGCUGUGGGGCUUUUAUGGAAAAAUGUCCCCACUUUUCCGACCUUCCCCCAGGAGGCAGGAUACCUGGUUGAGUGAGACUGCCUUCCUGACUGAGAGCACCACUCAAAGAAUCCAGACUGUGGCUCCAAUCCAGUUGCCCUCUUUAAUAGAUUCACAGUGUUAUAUUAGAAGUAAGAAGAUUGAGGCUGCGGUCACAGCGGUAUUUCAACUUGAAUGGCACUCAGUAAAGCACAUAUGCCUCUGCCAAGGCCCAACAGUCCCUCAAUCAAGUCGCACCAAAUUGCACACACUCAUAAAAAUCAGUCUCUUGAAUAUUGCCAGAUUUUGUUUCCCCCAUCAAGAUCCCUGGGAAAUUGGUGAAAAUGUACAAUAAAAAUCAGCACAAAAAUGUAAUGUUUUUAUUUCUUGGCCCAUGUCCCAUCAAGUUUCGUGGAAAUCUUUUCAGUUGUUUUUGCAUCGAACAAACGGGAAAACAAGGGCGGCAACCUCCUCAGUUGACGUGAUAACAAGAAAUUUCUGCCUGACAUAAUCACUUAAUUUGGACGGAAUAGUGGCAAUCGGUUGAUUUGUUCCAUCGGUCAUUACAAUCCUUCUUGAAAGUGCUGAAAAAGAAGAAAGAAAAAAAUAAAUAAAGGAAGGAAGGAAGCCAUCGUACCAGCACUAAAACAUCUUUUUUUUUAGGAGAUCGUGUGUUUUAUAAUCCACCCACCUUCGUAUUCUUGCUCUGGUUUAAUGUUGUAUGUAAUGUUGCACUAUUCUUUUCUUCCUGGUCCAUGAGAAACAACAUUUCAUGCAGCCGUUCACUUUGUGUGAGGAUGAAUGACAGUGAAGUUAACUUGACUUUAGUUGAAGGGUUUGAGUUUGAAAAUAGAGUAGAACCCCCGUAAAUAGUCAGCGUGUCACCGACAAGCAGCACCACGAGGAUGGACUAAUGAACUUUCUGGUUUGCUAUACUUAAGAGCGCUGGCAUCAUAAUUUAAACACAUUCACGACAAAGCAAUCGAUCAGAGAUGCACCAAAAAGAAACGAAACAAAAUUGAUAACAAAAUCAAAAGAUUAAAAGACGAAUUUGCUACUGGCCCCAGAUGAAUAGCGCUCACAAACUUUGUUCCACGACCGCUGUAGUAAA
This is a long non-coding RNA of Scophthalmus maximus (turbot), 1948 nucleotides long. The record is from Ensembl. Lineage: Eukaryota; Metazoa; Chordata; Actinopteri; Pleuronectiformes; Scophthalmidae.